RNAcentral lists this ribosomal RNA (501 nucleotides) under uncultured Acidobacteriota bacterium. Its description in RNAcentral is "bacterial SSU rRNA". It matches the Rfam family "Bacterial small subunit ribosomal RNA", at positions 548 to 1050 of the family's 1533-position model. The record is from RNAcentral. Lineage: Bacteria; Pseudomonadati; Acidobacteriota.
GAUUUACUGGGCGUAAAGGGCGCGUAGGCGGCGAAUCAAGUCAGCUGUGAAAUCUCCGAGCUUAACUCGGAACGGUCAGCUGAUACUGUUUUGCUAGAGUGCAGAAAGGGCAGCCGGAAUUCUUGGUGUAGCGGUGAAAUGCGUAGAUAUCAAGAGGAACACCUGAGGCGAAGGCGGGUUGCUAGGCUGACACUGACGCUGAAGCGCGAAAGCUAGGGUAGCAAACGGGAUUAGAUACCCCGGUAGUCCUAGCCCUAAACGAUGUAUGCUUGGUGUCUGGAGUUUUUAUCUCUGGGUGCCGUCGCUAACGCUUUUAGCAUACCGCCUGGGGAGUACGCACGCAAGUGUGAAACUCAAAGGAAUUGACGGGGACCCGCACAAGCGGUGGAGCAUGUGGUUCAAUUCGACGCAACGCGAAGAACCUUACCCAGGCUUGAACUGCGAGUGACCACUCCUCAAAGGGAGCUUUCGCAAGAACACUCGUAGAGGUGCUGCAUGGCU